Molecule: ribosomal RNA, 460 nt
Filed under: uncultured bacterium
Lineage: Bacteria
Description: partial 16S ribosomal RNA
Rfam family: Bacterial small subunit ribosomal RNA
Source: RNAcentral
CCUACGGGAGGCAGCAGUGAGGAAUAUUGGUCAAUGGACGCAAGUCUGAACCAGCCAUGCCGCGUGCAGGAAGACGGCUCUAUGAGUUGUAAACUGCUUUUGUACGGGGGUAAACGCAGAUACGCGUAUCUGUCUGAAAGUAUCGUACGAAUAAGGAUCGGCUAACUCCGUGCCCGCAGCCGCGGUAAUACGGAGGAUUCAAGCGUUAUCCGGAUUUAUUGGGUUUAAAGGGGUCGUAGGCGGUCGGAUAAGUUAGAGGUGAAAUCCCGAGGCUCAACUUCGGAAUUGCCUCUGAUACUGUUCGGCUAGAGAGUAGUGGCGGUAGGCGGAAUGUAUGGUGUAGCGGUGAAAUGCUUAGAGAUCAUACAGAACACCGAUUGCGAAGGCAGCUUACCAAGCUACUUCUGACGUUGAGGCACGAAAGCGUGGGGAGCAAACAGGAUUAGAUACCCGUGUAGUC